CAGCAGCCACGGGAAAACGGAGGGUGCAAGCGUUAAUCGGAAUUACUGGGCGUAAAGCGUGCGUAGGCGGUUCGUUAAGUCUGUUGUGAAAGCCCCGGGCUCAACCUGGGAAUGGCAAUGGAUACUGGCGAGCUAGAGUGUGUCAGAGGAUGGUGGAAUUCCCGGUGUAGCGGUGAAAUGCGUAGAGAUCGGGAGGAACAUCAGUGGCGAAGGCGGCUCACUGGACGACUGUUGACGCUGAGGUGCGAAAGCGUGGGGAGCAAACAGGAUUAGAUACCCCUGUAGUCCCUGUCUCUUAUAC
RNAcentral lists this ribosomal RNA (301 nucleotides) under uncultured bacterium. RNAcentral describes it as "partial 16S ribosomal RNA". It matches the Rfam family "Bacterial small subunit ribosomal RNA", at positions 509 to 807 of the family's 1533-position model. The record is from RNAcentral.